Non-coding RNA from Oryza nivara, 205 nucleotides. NCBI's taxonomy places the organism in Eukaryota, Viridiplantae, Streptophyta, Magnoliopsida, Poales, Poaceae. The record is from Rfam.
AAAAAGACAAACCCUGAGUUUUCGUGUCCAACAUUUAACUGUCCGUCUUAUAUGAAAUUUUUUAUAAUUAGUAUUUUCAUUGUUUUUAGAGGAUAAAACAUGAUUAAUACUUUAUGCAUGACUUAUUUUUUUAAUUUUUUUAUAAUUUUUUCAAAUAAAACGGACAGUUAAACGUUGGACACGGAAACUCAGGUUUGUUUUUUUU